Molecule: ribosomal RNA, 253 nt
Filed under: uncultured bacterium
Lineage: Bacteria
Description: partial 16S ribosomal RNA
Rfam family: Bacterial small subunit ribosomal RNA
Source: RNAcentral
UACAGAGGUCUCGAGCGUUAGGCGGAAUCACUGGGCUUAAAGCGUGUGUAGGCGGAUCGUUAAGUACCUUGUGAAAUCCCACGGCUCAACCGUGGAACGGCUGGGUAUACUGGCGGUCUUGGGCCAUUCAGGGGCGACUGGAACAAGCGGUGGAGCGGUGAAAUGCGUAGAUAUCAGGAGGAACACCAGCGGCGAAGGCGGUGCUCUGGGCCGGUACUGACACUGAGGAGCGAAAGCGUGGGUAGCAAACAGG